Molecule: ribosomal RNA, 448 nt
Filed under: uncultured organism
Description: partial 16S ribosomal RNA
Rfam family: Bacterial small subunit ribosomal RNA
Source: RNAcentral
ACUCCUACGGGAGGCAGCAGUGGGGAAUAUUGGACAAUGGGCGCAAGCCUGAUCCAGCCAUGCCGCGUGAGUGAUGAAGGCCCUAGGGUUGUAAAGCUCUUUCACCGGUGAAGAUAAUGACGGUAACCGGAGAAGAAGCCCCGGCUAACUUCGUGCCAGCAGCCGCGGUAAUACGAAGGGGGCUAGCGUUGUUCGGAUUUACUGGGCGUAAAGCGCACGUAGGCGGACUAUUAAGUCAGGGGUGAAAUCCCGGGGCUCAACCCCGGAACUGCCUUUGAUACUGGUAGUCUUGAGUUCGAGAGAGGUGAGUGGAAUUCCGAGUGUAGAGGUGAAAUUCGUAGAUAUUCGGAGGAACACCAGUGGCGAAGGCGGCUCACUGGCUCGAUACUGACGCUGAGGUGCGAAAGCGUGGGGAGCAAACAGGAUUAGAUACCCGUGUAGUCCCAUG